This 253-nucleotide ribosomal RNA is filed under the name uncultured bacterium. RNAcentral describes it as "partial 16S ribosomal RNA". It matches the Rfam family "Bacterial small subunit ribosomal RNA", at positions 524 to 776 of the family's 1533-position model. The record is from RNAcentral.
GACGAAGGUGGCAAGCGUUGUUCGGAAUCACUGGGCAUAAAGCGCGCGUAGGCGGUCCGCUAAGUUGGAUGUGAAAGCCCCCGGCCCAACCGGGGAAUUGCGUUCAAUACUGGUGGACUUGAGAGUCGGAGAGGUAUGUGGAAUUCCUGGUGGAGCGGUGAAAUGCGUUGAUAUCAGGAGGAACACCGGAGGCGAAGGCGACAUACUGGCCGACUUCUGACGCUGAGGUGCGAAAGCAUGGGGAGCAAACGGG